AUCUGGUUGAUCCUGCCAGUAGUCAUAUGCUUCUUUCAAGGACUAAGCCAUGCAAGCCUCAGAGUACAUGGAAUAACAGUAGAUCUGUGAAUGGCUCAUUACAUCAGCAAUAAUCUACGCGGUGACGUGGGGGUUUCAACCCUGCCUACUGGAUACCCAGGCUAACUGCCUGGCUAAUACAUGGACGAAGAACGCUUUCUCACUUGACGCGCAGCAGCGGGGCGACUCGUCUGUUGCGUGGAGACAGCGUGCAUUCAGCCGAUACCAAGACCAGCGCCCGCAAGGGCAGCGUGCAUUGAUGAUUCAGGCUGUCCUGUGCAAUAGCAGAGUGAUGUACAUCAUCGCUGCUUGGCCGCACGAACUUCUGACCUAUCAGCUUAGGACUGUGGUGUAGUGGACCACUGUGGCUAUCACGGGUAACGGAGAAUUAGGGUUUGAUACCGGAGAGGGAGCCUGAUACACGGCUACCACUGCUAAGGUGGGCAGCAGGCACGCAAAUUGCCCAAUACCAGCACACCUGGUGAGGCAGCAACGAGCUGUAGCAAUUCCGCCGGUCCCUGUGACAGGCGGAAUUUGCAAUGGAUGCCAUAUCCAAACCCAGCAAUGAUGAUCAACUGGAGGGCAAGUCUGGUGCCAGCAGCUGCGGUAAUUCCAGCUCCAACGGCGUAUACUAAUAUUGCUGCUGUUAAAACGCUUGUAGUCGACCACAGAACGUGGGGCUGCGAGGUGGCCUACAACAGUGGUCCUGAGGACAGCUUCGGUUGUUUGAUGGCCUGCUGAAGUGGGAACUCAACCCCUCGCAGUAUGCCCCCGCGUUCGCUGCACAUGGGACCGAUUGCACCUGCGAUAAGUGGGCUUCAUUGACCACCGACGCGGCUUCACCCGCAACGCGGGUACGGGAUCAAGUGCCAUUCGUGUCCCUCCCCCCCCCGGUGUCGUCCAUGGCUGUUACCGUGAACAACUCAGCGCGUCCAAAGCGACCGACUAUUGGCUGCAUGCUUCCGCAUGGGAUAACAAAGGAUUGACCAGAUGGGCUUUCGUAUUUUGCUGGCCUUAGUGUCCAUCAAGGGCAAUACGGUGCUGUCCCCCCAGUUAGGUGGCCAACUUCGGUUGCGUUCACCCGAUUGGUGGUGCAGUGCCGACCAGUAAUGAUGGGAGCGUUCGGGGUGAUGGGUAUCGAAACGCUAGAGGUGAAAUUCUUAGAUCGCUUUGGGAUCAGCUGCAGCGAAGGCGUUUUGCAAGGGCAUGUCCGUCGAUCAAGAACGAGAGUGUGGGGAGCGAAGAUGAUCAGAUACCGUCGUAGUCCACUACCGUAAACUAUGUCGGCUCGGCGUUGGCGGUGUAUUCUGCUUAUAAGGGCACCGCCAGUUCCACUCUUCUGCAACGAGAAAUCAAAGCUUGUGGGUUCAGGGGGGAGUACUGUCGCAAGGCUGAAACUUAAAGGAAUUGACGGAAUGGCACCACAAGGCGUGGAGUAUGCGGCUUAAUUUGACUCAACACGGGGAAUGUUACCAGGUCAGGACGUAGCUGGGAUUGACAGAUUGAGAGCUCUUUCUUGAUUCUUUGGACGGUGGUGCAUGGCCACUCCUGAUUGGUGGAGUGAUUUGUCUGGUUGAUUCCGAUAACGAAUGAGAUCUCUGCCUCCCAAUAGUCCCCGGUCUCGCACCUAUGUAGCUCGGGACAGCGCGCCUGGUUGGUUAGCGUUCGCGUUGCCAGCUUUAUGGCCGCUGAUUUCUCCGAGCGAGAGCUCCGGGCUUCUGCUUCUCCGAGGUGCUCUGUACGCCACAAAGUACAUGUAUGCUAGAGCCAACAGUAGGUCUGUGAUGCUCCUAGAUGUUCUGGGCCGCACGCGCACUACACUGACGCAGAAAACGAGCUCACCCUCCAUUAGCGAGUCCUGCCCAGAAGUGGGUGGGAAACCUUCAAGCCUGCGCCGUGCUGGGGAUAGAUGAUUGCAACUAUUUGCCUUGAACGAGGAAUGCCUAGUAAGCGUAGGUCAUCAGCCUACACUGAUUGUGUCCCUGCCAUUUGUACACACCGCCCGUCGUUGCUACCGAUGGUAGGAAGACAGAGACAUCAGGAGACCGCCCUGGUGCCCAUCCUAUUAUGCCCCCUUUCUCCGAGGGUGUGUGUGGCAGGAACCGGGCACCAGGCCGUGGUUGAAUUUGGCCAAUGUCUUCUUACUAGAGGAAGCAAAAGUCGUAACAAGGUUGCUGUAGGUGAACCUGCAGCAGGAUCAUU
Molecule: ribosomal RNA, 2241 nt
Filed under: Eutreptiella gymnastica
Lineage: Eukaryota; Euglenozoa; Euglenophyceae; Eutreptiales; Eutreptiaceae
Description: Eukaryotic small subunit ribosomal RNA
Rfam family: Eukaryotic small subunit ribosomal RNA
Source: RNAcentral